GACUUAGGCACGAACGUUUGUGGUGGUCUGAGUGCCGCCGUUUUUUAAACAAAGCAGAACUAACAGCUAUGCUUUGUUUUCCUUGCAACACACCACCAAAAGUGCUCUGGAACACACCUAAGAGUUUUUGAAGGUGCUCUUUGGUUUAAGAGGACCAUGUUAGCAAAGAAAACGCUAUAUACAGUGAUUUUGGUUCACUUUGUUUUAAUCUGUUGUGCUGGGGAUCAGUCAUUCGAGCAAGUAGUGACCGAGGAAUACUGGAACGAGGUUGAAGAACAGGACAACCAACGCAAUAACGAAAUAAUUUGCUGGUUCAACAAUAGGAUCCUAAAAGUUGGUGAAAAACUGAGCAACAACUGUGUAUGCAGAAAGUCUGGUUAUAUUGUGUGCCCGUAGAGUUUAAAAGUUUUUUGUUAGUACAGGAGACUCCGGUCCUCUGACAUCACCGACUUGGGAAUAUACACGCGAGCGACUCCUUGUCUCUUGUGAUUCAACCAAAUCAUUCCCACGAUGCAAAUCACAGCCAGCGCAAGUAAAGGAAGAACCGCUGAUGUAGUAGCAUCUGAAAUGAAAAUAAAAUUUUUUUUAUUAGACAUUGUUAGAUCUAGAUGAAUAAGUUUACCAAGUAAAAAACAAGUAAAAAAAUGUGUGGAAAAAGUGGAAAUAAAGGAUGUCAAUAUCAAUAAUGAUAA
Long non-coding RNA from Stylophora pistillata, 692 nucleotides. RefSeq lists it as uncharacterized. NCBI's taxonomy places the organism in Eukaryota, Metazoa, Cnidaria, Anthozoa, Scleractinia, Pocilloporidae. The record is from RefSeq and is a predicted model, not a curated record.